This 253-nucleotide ribosomal RNA is filed under the name uncultured bacterium. RNAcentral's name for it is "partial 16S ribosomal RNA". It matches the Rfam family "Bacterial small subunit ribosomal RNA", at positions 524 to 776 of the family's 1533-position model. The record is from RNAcentral.
UACGGAGGGUGCAAGCGUUAUCCGGAUUUACUGGGUUUAAAGGGUGCGCAGGCGGAUAUGUAAGUCAGUGGUGAAAUCUCUAGGCUUAACCUGGAAAUUGCCGUUGAUACUAUAUAUCUUGAAUGCUGUGGAGGUAAGCGGAAUAUGACAUGUAGCGGUGAAAUGCUUAGAUAUGACAUAGAACACCUAUUGCGAAGGCAGCUUACUACGCAGAUAUUGACGCUCAUGCACGAAAGCGUGGGGAUCAAACAGG